This 89-nucleotide microRNA precursor is filed under the name Oryza rufipogon (brownbeard rice). RNAcentral describes it as "MIR1862 microRNA precursor family". It matches the Rfam family "MIR1862 microRNA precursor family". The record is from Rfam by way of RNAcentral. Lineage: Eukaryota; Viridiplantae; Streptophyta; Magnoliopsida; Poales; Poaceae.
UACUCCCUCCGUCCCAUAAUAUAGCAACCUAGUACCGGAUGGGACAUUUUAUAGUACUAGGUUGCUAUAUUAUGGGACGGAGGGAGUAU